This 150-nucleotide ribosomal RNA is filed under the name Glomus mycorrhizal symbiont of Marchantia foliacea. Its description in RNAcentral is "5.8S ribosomal RNA". It matches the Rfam family "5.8S ribosomal RNA". From Rfam's summary of the family: 5.8S ribosomal RNA (5.8S rRNA) is a component of the large subunit of the eukaryotic ribosome. It is transcribed by RNA polymerase I as part of the 45S precursor that also contains 18S and 28S rRNA. Functionally, it is thought that 5.8S rRNA may be involved in ribosome translocation. Lineage: Eukaryota; Fungi; Glomeromycota; Glomeromycetes; Glomerales; Glomeraceae. The record is from RNAcentral.
ACUUUCAACAACGGAUCUCUUGGUUCUCGCAUCGAUGAAGAACGUAGCGAAGUGCGAUAUGUAGUGUGAAUUGCAGAAUUCCGUGAAUCAUCGAACUUUUGAACGCAAAUUGCACUCUCUUCGGAGAGUAUGCCUGUUUGAGGGUCAGCC